UCCCUGGUGGCUCAGAUGGUAAAGCAUCUGCUGCAAUGCAGGAGACCCGGGUUCGAUCCCUGGGUUGGGAA
Transfer RNA from Ovis aries (sheep), 71 nucleotides. It matches the Rfam family "tRNA". From Rfam's summary of the family: Transfer RNA (tRNA) molecules are approximately 80 nucleotides in length. Their secondary structure includes four short double-helical elements and three loops (D, anti-codon, and T loops). NCBI's taxonomy places the organism in Eukaryota, Metazoa, Chordata, Mammalia, Artiodactyla, Bovidae. The record is from Rfam.